RNAcentral lists this ribosomal RNA (406 nucleotides) under uncultured bacterium. RNAcentral describes it as "partial 16S ribosomal RNA". It matches the Rfam family "Bacterial small subunit ribosomal RNA", at positions 29 to 526 of the family's 1533-position model. The record is from RNAcentral.
AUUGAACGCUGGCGGCAGGCCUAACACAUGCAAGUCGAACGAGUGGCGGACGGGUGAGUAAUGUCUGGGAAACUGCCCGAUGGAGGGGGAUAACUACUGGAAACGGUAGCUAAUACCGCCUACCAUCCGAUUUGCCCAGAUGGGAUUGGCUAGUAGGUGGGGUAACGGCUCACCUGGGCGACGAUCCCUAGCUGGUCUGAGAGGAGGACCAGCCAAACUGGAACUGAGACACGGUCCAGACUCCUACGGGAGGCAGCAGUGGGGAAUAUUGCACAAGGGGCGCAAGCCUGAGGCAGCCAUGCCGCGUGUAUGAAGAAGGCCUUCGGGUUGUAAAGUACUUUCAGCGGGGAGGCGGUACCCGCAGAAGAAGCACCGGCUAACUCCGUGCCAGCAGCCGCGGUAAUUC